Molecule: ribosomal RNA, 418 nt
Filed under: uncultured prokaryote
Description: bacterial SSU rRNA
Rfam family: Archaeal small subunit ribosomal RNA
Source: RNAcentral
GUGUCAGCCGCCGCGGUAAUACCAGCACCCCGAGUGGUCGGGAUGAUUAUUGGGCCUAAAGCAUCCGUAGCCGGUGUAACAAGUCCUCCGUUAAAUCCACCUGCUUAACAGGUGGGCUGCGGAGGAUACUGUUACACUAGGAGGCGGGAGAGGCGAGGGGUAUUCCACGGGUAGGGGUAAAAUCCUCUGAUCCGUGGAGGACCACCAGUGGCGAAGGCGCCUCGCCAGAACGCGCUCGACGGUGAGGGAUGAAAGCUGGGGGAGCAAACCGGAUUAGAUACCCGGGUAGUCCCAGCCGUAAACGAUGUAGGCUCGGUGAUGGACUGGCUCCGAGCCAGUCCAGUGCCGCAGGGAAGCCGUUAAGCCUACCGCCUGGGGAGUACGGCCGCAAGGCUGAAACUCAAAGGAAUUGACGGGG